AUGUUGGAAACCUUUAACCAUUGACCUCCAUAGUAUUUGUUUUUUCUAUUAUGGAUGGCAGUGGUUACCAGU
This 72-nucleotide microRNA precursor is filed under the name Danio rerio (zebrafish). RNAcentral describes it as "miRNA (ENSDARG00000106243.2)". Lineage: Eukaryota; Metazoa; Chordata; Actinopteri; Cypriniformes; Danionidae. The record is from RNAcentral.